RNAcentral lists this ribosomal RNA (252 nucleotides) under uncultured bacterium. Its description in RNAcentral is "partial 16S ribosomal RNA". It matches the Rfam family "Bacterial small subunit ribosomal RNA", at positions 524 to 776 of the family's 1533-position model. The record is from RNAcentral.
UACGUAGGGUGCGAGCGUUGUCCGGAAUUAUUGGGCGUAAAGGCUCGUAGGCGGUUUGUCACGUCAGGAGUGAAAACUCGGGGCUCAACCCCGAGCCUGCUUCUGAUACGGGCAGACUAGAGGUAUGCAGGGGAGAACGGAAUUCCUGGUGUAGCGGUGAAAUGCGCAGAUAUCAGGAGGAACACCGGUGGCGAAGGCGGUCUCUGGGCAUUACCUGACGCUGAGGAGCGAAAGUGUGGGGGAGCGAACAGG